RNAcentral lists this ribosomal RNA (465 nucleotides) under uncultured bacterium. RNAcentral describes it as "partial 16S ribosomal RNA". It matches the Rfam family "Bacterial small subunit ribosomal RNA", at positions 338 to 795 of the family's 1533-position model. The record is from RNAcentral.
CCUACGGGGGACAGCAGUAGGGAAUCUUCCGCAAUGGGCGAAAGCCUGAUCGAGCAACGCCGCGUGGGUGAAGAAGGUCUUCGGAUCGUAAAACCCUGUUGUUCGAGACGAAAGUGCGUGAGAGUAACUGUUCACGUUUCGACGGUAUCUAACCAGAAAGCCACGGCUAACUACGUGCCCGCAGCCGCGGUAAUACGUAGGUGGCAAGCGUUAUCCGGAUUUAUUGGGCGUAAAGGGAACGCAGGCGGUCUGUUAAGUCUGAUGUGAAAGCCUUCGGCUUAACCGGAGUAGUGCAUUGGAAACUGGGAGACUUGAGUGCAGAAGAGGAGAGUGGAAUUCCAGGUGUAGCGGUGAAAUGCGUAGAUAUAUGGAAGAACACCAGUGGCGAAAGCGGCUCUCGGGUCUGUAACUGACGCUGAGGUUCGAAAGCGUGGGUAGCAAACAGGAUUAGAUACCCGGGUAGUC